This 282-nucleotide small RNA is filed under the name marine eukaryotic metagenome. Its description in RNAcentral is "5' ureB small RNA". It matches the Rfam family "5' ureB small RNA". The record is from RNAcentral.
CUGCUGGGGACAGAUGAAGUGGAUGUGGGUGUCGAUUCCCCCGGCCGUCAGGAUCUUGCCCUCCCCGGCGACGACCUCGGUUGUCACUCCCACGAUCAUCUGCGGAUCGACCCCGGCCAUUACGUCGGGAUUGCCCGCCUUGCCGAUGCCGACGAUGCGGCCACCCUUGAUCCCGAUAUCGGCCUUGAAGAUGCCGGUGUAGUCGAUGACCAGGGCGUUGGUGAUCAGCAGGUCCAGCGCGUCGGCCUGCGAGACGCCAGCGGCCUGUCCCAUGCCCUCGCG